This 500-nucleotide ribosomal RNA is filed under the name uncultured soil bacterium. RNAcentral describes it as "bacterial SSU rRNA". It matches the Rfam family "Bacterial small subunit ribosomal RNA", at positions 26 to 515 of the family's 1533-position model. The record is from RNAcentral.
AGAUUGAACGCUGGCGGCAUGCCUUACACAUGCAAGUCGAACGGCAGCACGGGGGCAACCCUGGUGGCGAGUGGCGAACGGGUGAGUAAUGCAUCGGAACGUGCCCAGUAGUGGGGGAUAACUAGUCGAAAGAUUAGCUAAUACCGCAUACGACCUAUGGGUGAAAGCGGGGGAUUCGCAAGAACCUCGCGCUAUCGGAGCGGCCGAUGUCUGAUUAGCUAGUUGGCGGGUAAAAGCCACCAAGGCUUCGAUCAGUAGCUGGUCUGAGAGGACGACCAGCCACACUGGGACUGAGACACGGCCCAGACUCCUACGGGAGGCAGCAGUGGGAAUUUGGACAAUGGGCGCAAGCCUGAUCCAGCCAUGCCGCGUGCGGGAAGAAGGCCUUCGGUGUAAACCGCUUUGGCAGGAACGAAACGGCGACGAGACGAAGUAUCUACGCGUUAAAGUCGACGGUACCUGACCGAGAAUAAGACACCGGACUAACCUACGUGACCAGC